This 373-nucleotide ribosomal RNA is filed under the name uncultured organism. RNAcentral describes it as "bacterial SSU rRNA". It matches the Rfam family "Bacterial small subunit ribosomal RNA", at positions 526 to 896 of the family's 1533-position model. The record is from RNAcentral.
CGGGGGGGGCAAGCGUUGUUCGGAAUUACUGGGCGUAAAGGGCUCGUAGGCGGCCAACUAAGUCGGAUGUGAAAUCCCCAGGCUCAACCUGGGAACUGCAUCCGAUACUGGAUGGCUUGAAUUCGGGAGAGGGAUGCAGAAUUCCAGGUGUAGCGGUGAAAUGCGUAGAUAUCUGGAGGAAUACCGGUGGCGAAGGCGGCAUCCUGGACCGACAUUGACGCUGAUGAGCCGAAAGCUAGGGGAGCAAACGGGAUUAGAUACCCCGGUAGUCCUAGCCCCUAAAGAUGAAUGCUUGGUGUAACGGGUAUCGAUCCCUGUUGUGCCGAAGCUAACGCAUUAAGCAUUCCGCCUGGAGAGUACGGUCGCAAGGCUG